AUGGGCCGACCCAUUAGCGCGUACAGGGAGGAGGAGGCGCGCUUACUACAGAGAAAAACUUGUCCAUCAACCUUAGCGCUGCUGGCACGUCAAGCAUGGCGUCUCCUACAAGAACCACUUUCCCUACGUGCUCGGAUCCUCAAGGUUGUGUAUUACCCAACGUGCUCGGUACUAGAUGCUGAACUUGGUAAAACUCCAUUGCAAGUGUGGCGAUCCAUAGUAGAAGGGAGAGACACACUGAAACUUGGGCUUAUCAAAAGGAUUGGAACAGGAGAUGGUACCCAUAUAUGGCAUGAUAAUUGGAUCCCUCGCGAUUUCAAAUUGCGUCCGGUGUGUCCAAAAACGCCUAACCCCCCACAGAUGGUUUCAGAAUUAAUUGAUCAUGCCUCGGCUUCGUGGGACAUUCAGUUACUUGAGGAGCAUUUUUAUGACAUGGACAAGGCAGAAAUCCUAAACACCCCUCUUAGCUCUAAGGUACAAGCAGACUUCUGGUCUUGGCACUAUGAUAAGAGGGAUCUUUUUAGUGUACGUUCGGCUUACAGGGUCCUGUCAGCCACAAAGGAGCAGCGGACUGACUAG
Molecule: ribosomal RNA, 579 nt
Filed under: Triticum aestivum (bread wheat)
Lineage: Eukaryota; Viridiplantae; Streptophyta; Magnoliopsida; Poales; Poaceae
Description: partial small subunit ribosomal RNA
Source: RNAcentral